AACCUCGCCCUUCGACUCUGGGAUAAGCCCGGGAAACUGGGUCUAAUACUGGAUGCUACAUGUCACCGCAUGGUGGUGUGUGGAAAGGGUUUACUGGUCUUGGAUGGGCUCACGGCCUAUCAGCUUGUUGGUGAGGUAAUGGCUCACCAAGGCGACGACGGGUAGCCGGCCUGAGAGGGUGACCGGCCACACUGGGACUGAGACACGGCCCAGACUCCUACGGGAGGCAGCAGUGGGGAAUAUUGCACAAUGGGCGAAAGCCUGAUGCAGCGACGCCGCGUGAGGGAUGACGGCCUUCGGGUUGUAAACCUCUUUCAGCAGGGAAGAAGCCACAAGUGACGGUACCUGCAGAAGAAGCGCCGGCUAACUACGUGCCAGCAGCCGCGGUAAUACGUAGGGCGCAAGCGUUGUCCGGAAUUAUUGGGCGUAAAGAGCUCGUAGGCGGUUUGUCGCGUCUGCUGUGAAAGCCCGGGGCUUAACCCCGGGUGUGCAGUGGGUACGGGCAGACUAGAGUGCAGUAGGGGAGACUGGAAUUCCUGGUGUAGCGGUGGAAUGCGCAGAUAUCAGGAGGAACACCGAUGGCGAAGGCAGGUCUCUGGGCUGUUACUGACGCUGAGGAGCGAAAGCAUGGGGAGCGAACAGGAUUAGAUACCCUGGUAGUCCAUGCCGUAAACGUUGGGCACUAGGUGU
RNAcentral lists this ribosomal RNA (690 nucleotides) under Kocuria palustris. Its description in RNAcentral is "bacterial SSU rRNA". It matches the Rfam family "Bacterial small subunit ribosomal RNA", at positions 123 to 823 of the family's 1533-position model. Lineage: Bacteria; Bacillati; Actinomycetota; Actinomycetes; Micrococcales; Micrococcaceae. The record is from RNAcentral.